CGCACACUCCUCCCUCCUCCCCACUUCCUCUGCCCCCGCGCUCCGCUCUCCUCCCAUCCCCGGAGCGAUCCAGAGCCCAGCGGCAGCCAGGGGCUUGCCCGGUUGGUUCACGUGGCUCUCGGGGUGGAGCGGCUGGCGAAGCGCAGAGGGUGGGUGGAGACAACAAAGCCCAGCUGUCAGCGGCCAGGGAGAGGGAAAGCUGCGGCGGCGGCCCAGGAGGAGGCAGGUGAGUUCCAAAUUGCUGCAAGGAAUACUUCAUUCCGGCAACCAGAGAAAGUGCUUGGAUGCUCAAAUUGGGGAAUGGCGGUCAACGUGUAUUCUACCUCUAUAACCCAAGAGACUAUGAGCAGACAUGACAUCAUUGCUUGGGUUAAUGACAUAGUAGCUUUAAACUACACAAAAGUCGAACAGCUUUGUUCAGGAGCAGCUUACUGCCAGUUCAUGGACAUGUUGUUCCCAGGGUGCAUUAGCUUGAAGAAAGUAAAAUUUCAGGCAAAGCUGGAGCAUGAGUACAUUCACAAUUUCAAACUUCUGCAAGCAUCAUUUAAAAGAAUGAAUGUGGAUAAGGUGAUUCCAGUGGAGAAAUUGGUGAAAGGGCGCUUCCAAGACAACUUAGAUUUUAUCCAAUGGUUUAAGAAGUUCUUUGAUGCCAACUAUGACGGUAAAGAGUAUGAUCCUGUCAUGGCUCGACAAGGCCAAGAUGCUCUUCCCCCACCAGAUCCCGGUGAACAGAUCUUUAACUUACCAAAAAAGUCCCAUCAUGCAAACUCUCCCACUGCAGGUGCUGCUAAAUCCAGUCCAGUUUCUAAACCAGGGUCCACACCUUCUCGUCCAUCGUCAGCAAAAAAAGCCACACCAAGCAGCUCAGCGUCCAAAUCAGAUAAAGAUUUGGAAACACAGGUCAUACAACUCAGUGAACAGGUACAUACCAUUAAAACUUACACUCGAAGGUGUGGAGAAGGAAAGGGACUUCUACUUUGGAAAAUUAAGGGAGAUUGAACUUCUCUGCCAAGAACAUGGGCAAGAAAAUAAUGACCUUGUCCAAAGGCUAAUGGAAGUCCUUUAUGCUUCAGAAGAACAUGAGAGCCACGCAGAUGAGCAUGAAGGCGAGGAGCAGGUUCAUGAACAGCCCCAGCAGCAGGAAGAAUACUGACCUGUCCAACAUCUUUGACAGUUUUCAUUCUGUGUGGGAACUUUCUUCUGGAGAAAGGAACAUGUGUGGCCUCAAACUCGAAACCAGUCACUCCCAGUCUGCCAUUAACAUUUAUGUACCAUAGCGAGUGCCAGCAAACCACUGCAUUCUGUACCCAUAUUUUGCCAAGAUGCAUUUGCAGAAGUCUUCUUUCAAUGUGUCUACCUGAGAGAUCGUAGGGCUACAUCACCUACUGUACAUCACUGCAGCUUCACCACUUGGCUGCUUGAGAUUUGUUCUGCUUUUUAAAAAAUAUAUAUAUUUAUUUUUUCUUUUUGUCUUAAGUAUGAUACAUUUGUAAUUUGUUCUAAAAUGUUUAUAUUGGCAUCUCUUGUGGCAAGAAGUAUUGUACCACAGAUGUGUUUGUCACUUGGUGGUGCUUUGGUAUUUUCAAGUACAUCUGCCUUGGGACAUAAAUUUGGUCAAACAAUUGGAACAAAGGGAUACAUUAGAAGUGAUACUCAAGCUAUAAUGAGGAGGUGUGUGUUGUGGAGGGAAAAGGCUUAUGUGACCCAUAUCGUUCCUAUCCUGUAUUCACAAAACAGAAAGCAAAGCAACAGUUUCCCUAAUAAAGAUUUAAAACCCCCUGAGUGUUUUACACCAAAGCAUGUUAGAAAGCUGCAUGAUAUGUUUUUAUUUCUGGAAGAUACAUGUCUGCUUAACUGUUGGAAAGUCUUCUCAAUUUCCUGACUUUUCAACAGAAGCUCUACCUGCUGCUUUCUUUUGAAAGACCUGUAUUUAUUAGAAAUUCUGUCGCUGCCUCCAGCUCAGUGCUGAUUCAGAAGACAACAAUCUCCUCUCUCUUGCAGCUACAUCUGCAGAAUACCAUCUCUGAUCUUGUGUUCUGCCUGCCACCCCCUACAAAUGAGGAUCAAGUGGGUCAGCCAUUCCUUUUUCCUAUUGCUUCCUCUCCCCUUGGCCAUACACAUAUGGAAGAGGAAGACUUCCUUACUGGGGCUAGGCAUGUCCAAGGUUGAUUUCAGCAAGCCAGCUGCAGAACCAGUCCUGAAACUCUUAAGAGAUUCUCCUUUUAAACAUGAAAUUAUUUGAAUACUAAUUGAAGGAUAUUUUCCCCAUUGGUGCUUAGGCCAGUUUGCAUGCUUAGUGAACCAGCCAGAAGUCCUGUUAGAGGUAAAGAACACAUUAGCAGGGGAUCACCUGCAAGGGACAAAAACAGUUCUGUAGGCUGACUGACCUUACUACUGGAUAGGUUGGCCCAGUGCAGAACCAGAAUUUAGAGACUUCUGUGCCAGGUGUUCCUUCUUAAUUAGGGUCCUUGUUAUCCUGUUCUAAAUUAUGGCAUUUUAUAGGCAGAAAUAUAGCAUAAAAUACAUUUAAAAGCAUUCCUUAUUUUUUAAAAAAUCGUAAAAUUGCACAUUUUGGAUCUAUUUCUGCCUUUCUUUUACACUUGGUGUUCCUGGCUUCCAUCACGUUAUUUUUUAAUUCUAAAUUUAUGACUUUGGUUAUUUUUUGGCAGGCACAAGGAAAAGUCUCAUCCCAGGCUACCAUCACUGAAAAGCUCAAUAAAACCUUCUGAAUGGUGUAUCUUUUUAAAUCUUUAUGGAGUUGCUUUACUGAUUAAGCUCCAGUACUAAAUUUAUACUGAAGCAGAAGGUUUUUUAAUUAAAAAAAAUAAUCUUCAAUUCUCAAAUCUUUUGCAGCAAAGUUAAUCUACUUUCGUUAAAUGUGAGCAAUUACUCCUACUGAGUUUCAUACCACAGCCAGUACAUAAAAUACCUUUAAACAUUAGAACAGGUGUUUCCAUUUCCUCAAUUGCUCCCUCAGCUCAGCAGCAUAGUAUCCAGUCCCUGUGGGUUGAAAGAGUUUUCUGGCCCUGACCCCAGCAUUGACCUCACUUCCUAUCCAGUAAUAGGUAGUGAAAGAGCUGUACCCUGCAAUGUAGCACUUUCAUUGCUAUUUUUAGCUUAAUUGAUUUGCUUGGUUUCAAUUAAAAUCCUAUACAUAAAGUGAAUUAAAAAGUGAGGAGUUUUUUUUAUAAGGAUAUACAAUAUAUUCCCAUGAUCCACCAUAGAAGAUCCAGGAUAUUUUCUGUCUGAAGUAUCAGCAUUUAGGGCCUAGUUCUUAAUUUUCUCUCCACAAUUUCCAUUAGCAUCUGCAGAAGUUCUGGUGGUGCAAGGAAUUCAGGAUCAGACCCUACCCUGCUGCUGGCAUCAGCACCAGAUUGUGAUCCCUGAUACAAUUCCAUCAUCUUUCAAUUUAUCGGCAAGCAGACACUGGAGAGCACUUCCUUAAAAAGUGCUUUUGCGAGGCUCCACAAUGGUUAGAUUUUUCUGCUUGCGAGGUGGUUCUUGACAAGGCUACUCUGCCCUACCCCUUUCAGCUAUAAGUAUAAAAAAGCCAACCAGUCCUUUCCUCCCUUUCUUCUUACUCUGCCUUGUAAUUGGUCCGUGGAGUAUAACCCUUUCACUGCUUUGCAUCAGGCAGGAAGUGAUUGAUGUAGGGCACAGGAAUGGUAGUUACCUUCCCAAGCCAGAGAGCCUCAAAUGUGCUGAGGAGUGAUACUCUGGAAGGGGAUAGAGUUGUCCUCCCACCCGGGUGAGUAACACCAUUAUUCCGUUAUGGUUUUAAUAUGCAUUUGUAAUUACUUUUACUAAAUAGCACACCAUAAAGCUUUGGUUAUAUAUUAAAUGUAAACUGAAAGGAAUGUAAACAUAUGUAUUGUUAAUUAUAAAUAGAUAAGUAAUGACAUCAUAGAUGCAAAAAGUCUUAUUCAGAUGUAUCAGUCAUUUUACAUUACCCACAAAUUGUUGCAUGGUAGACUAGAUUUUUUUUUCUGUCUCUGAGUAUGUGAAUAACUUGACUUGCGUUUAUCUUUUUACAUAUUUAAUAAAAAAAGUAUAUGUUAAAAUCUGUGUAGCUCUAGAAACUAUUCCAAACCAUUUAAAGUGGUAGUUUUCUAUUUAUAUAUUAAACUGUUUCAUUAUUAAUUGCAAAUGUGAGCAAGGAAAAAAAGCCAAAUGGUUUAAAAGAAAAUGUGGUUCAUAAUGUAUGUAGAAAUUUCUUUUCAGGAGCCCAACAACUGUAUCACCCUUCCACAAAUCUCAGGACGAGAUGAAUGAAAAUAUUAAAAAAUAAAAUAAGAUGCAGAUUA
RNA transcript from Chelonoidis abingdonii (Abingdon island giant tortoise), 4304 nucleotides. It is a transcript of the gene named microtubule associated protein RP/EB family member 2, with no coding region annotated. Lineage: Eukaryota; Metazoa; Chordata; Testudines; Testudinidae. The record is from RefSeq and is a predicted model, not a curated record.